CCUACGGGAGGCAGCAGUAGGGAAUAUUGGUCAAUGGGCGAGAGCCUGAACCAGCCAUGCCGCGUGCAGGAAGAAGGCCCUCUGGGUUGUAAACUGCUUUUGACAGGGGCCAAAAUACUCAUGCGUGAGGAAUUGAGAGUACCUGUAGAAUAAGCACCGGCUAACUCCGUGCCAGCAGCCGCGGUAAUACGGAGGGUGCAAGCGUUGUCCGGAUUUAUUGGGUUUAAAGGGUGCGUAGGUGGCCUUAUAAGUCAGUGGUGAAAGCCUGCAGCUUAACUGUAGGACUGCCAUUGAUACUGUAGGGCUUGAGUACUGAUGAGGUAGGCGGAAUUGAUAGUGUAGCGGUGAAAUGCAUAGAUAUUAUCAAGAACACCGAUUGCGAAGGCAGCUUACUAAGGAGUUACUGACACUGAGGCACGAAAGCGUGGGGAUCAAACAGGAUUAGAUACCCUGGUAGUCCACGCCAUAAACGAUGAUUACUCGAUGUAUGCGAUAGAUAGUAUGCGUCCAAGCGAAAGCGUUAAGUAAUCCACCUGGGAGUACGACCGCAAGUUGAAACUNAANAGAGUAGAGNGNGAGAGNGCGAGACGCACGAGGGAGAG
RNAcentral lists this ribosomal RNA (602 nucleotides) under uncultured bacterium. RNAcentral's name for it is "bacterial SSU rRNA". It matches the Rfam family "Bacterial small subunit ribosomal RNA", at positions 338 to 943 of the family's 1533-position model. The record is from RNAcentral.